Molecule: ribosomal RNA, 497 nt
Filed under: uncultured bacterium
Lineage: Bacteria
Description: partial 16S ribosomal RNA
Rfam family: Bacterial small subunit ribosomal RNA
Source: RNAcentral
GAUGAACGCUGGCGGCGUGCCUAAUACAUGCAAGUCGAGCGAACGGACGAGAAGCUUGCUUCUCUGAUGUUAGCGGCGGACGGGUGAGUAACACGUGGAUAACCUACCUAUAAGACUGGGAUAACUUCGGGAAACCGUAGCUAAUACCGGAUAAUAUUUUGAACCGCAUGGUUCAAAAGUGAAAGACGGUCUUGCUGUCACUUAUAGAUGGAUCCGCGCUGCAUUAGCUAGUUGGUAAGGUAACGGCUUACCAAGGCAACGAUGCAUAGCCGACCUGAGAGGGUGAUCGGCCACACUGGAACUGAGACACGGUCCAGACUCCUACGGGAGGCAGCAGUAGGGAAUCUUCCGCAAAGGGCGAAAGCCUGACGGAGCAACGCCGCGUGAGUGAUGAAGGUCUUCGGAUCGUAAAACUCUGUUAUUAGGGAAGAACAUAUGUGUAAGUAACUGUGCACAUCUUGACGGUACCUAAUCAGAAAGCCACGGCUAAUUACGUG